This 505-nucleotide ribosomal RNA is filed under the name uncultured marine cyanobacterium AY-29. RNAcentral describes it as "bacterial SSU rRNA". It matches the Rfam family "Bacterial small subunit ribosomal RNA", at positions 376 to 895 of the family's 1533-position model. Lineage: Bacteria; Bacillati; Cyanobacteriota. The record is from RNAcentral.
CGAAAGCCUGACGGAGCAACGCCGCGUGAGGGAUGAAGGCCUCUGGGCUGUAAACCUCUUUUAUCAAGGAAGAAGAUCUGACGGUACUUGAUGAAUAAGCCACGGCUAAUUCCGUGCCAGCAGCCGCGGUAAUACGGGAGUGGCAAGCGUUAUCCGGAAUUAUUGGGCGUAAAGCGUCCGCAGGCGGCCCUUCAAGUCUGCUGUUAAAACGUGGAGCUUAACUCCAUCAUGGCAGUGGAAACUGUUGGGCUUGAGUGUGGUAGGGGCAGAGGGAAUUCCCGGUGUAGCGGUGAAAUGCGUAGAUAUCGGGAAGAACACCAGUGGCGAAGGCGCUCUGCUGGGCCAUMACUGACGCUCAUGGACGAAAGCCAGGGGAGCGAAAGGGAUUAGAUACCCCUGUAGUCCUGGCCGUAAACGAUGAACACUAGGUGUCGGGGGAAUCGACCCCUUCGGUGUCGUAGCCCACGCGUUAAGUGUUCCGCCUGGGGAGUACGCACGCAAGUGU